AUUGAACGCUGGCGGCGGGCCUAACACAUGCAAGUCGAACGGUAGCACAGAGGAGCUUGCUCCUUGGGUGACGAGUGGCGGACGGGUGAGUAAUGUCUGGGAAACUGCCCGAUGGAGGGGGAUAACUACUGGAAACGGUAGCUAAUACCGCAUAACGUCGCAAGAACAAAGAGGGGGACCUUCGGGCCUCUUGCCAUCGGAUGUGCCCAGAUGGGAUUAGCUAGUAGGUGGGGUAACGGCUCACCUAGGCGACGAUCCCUAGCUGGUCUGAGAGGAUGACCAGCCACACUGGAACUGAGACACGGUCCAGACUCCUACGGGAGGCAGCAGUGGGGAAUAUUGCACAAUGGGCGCAAGCCUGAUGCAGCCAUGCCGCGUGUAUGAAGAAGGCCUUCGGGUUGUAAAGUACUUUCAGCGAGGAGGAAGGUGUUGUGGUUAAUAACCGCAGCAAUUGACGUUACUCGCAGAAGAAGCACCGGCUAACUCCGUGCCAGCAGCCGCCGUAA
RNAcentral lists this ribosomal RNA (506 nucleotides) under uncultured bacterium. RNAcentral describes it as "partial 16S ribosomal RNA". It matches the Rfam family "Bacterial small subunit ribosomal RNA", at positions 30 to 523 of the family's 1533-position model. The record is from RNAcentral.